RNAcentral lists this ribosomal RNA (254 nucleotides) under uncultured bacterium. RNAcentral describes it as "partial 16S ribosomal RNA". It matches the Rfam family "Bacterial small subunit ribosomal RNA", at positions 524 to 776 of the family's 1533-position model. The record is from RNAcentral.
CACGUAGGGUGCGAGCGUUGUCCGGAAUUAUUGGGCGUAAAGAGCUCGUAGGCGGUGUGUCGCGUCGGCCGUGAAAACCUGCAGCUUAACUGUGGGCUUGCGGUCGAUACGGGCAUCACUGGAGUUCGGCAGGGGAGACUGGAAUUCCUGGUGUAGCGGUGAAAUGCGCAGAUAUCAGGAGGAACACCGAUGGCGAAGGCAGCUCGCUGGGACGGUACUGACGCUGAGGCGCGAAAGCGUGGGGAGCAAACAGG